RNAcentral lists this ribosomal RNA (1360 nucleotides) under uncultured prokaryote. RNAcentral describes it as "partial 16S ribosomal RNA". It matches the Rfam family "Bacterial small subunit ribosomal RNA", at positions 66 to 1428 of the family's 1533-position model. The record is from RNAcentral.
GGGGCAGCAGUACUUUUCGGAGUAGCUGGCGACCGGCGCACGGGUGCGUAACGCGUAUGCAAUCUACCCACUGCACAGGGAUAGCCCGUGGAAACAUGGAUUAAUACCUGAUAAUACAGGGAGCCCACCUGGGCAUAUUGUUAAAGUUUUAACGGCAGUGGAUGAGCAUGCGUCCCAUUAGUUAGUUGGUAAGAUAACGGCUUACCAAGGCGAUGAUGGGUAGGGGUUCUGAGAGGAUGAUCCCCCACACUGGUACUGAGAUACGGACCAGACUCCUACGGGAGGCAGCAGUAGGGAAUAUUGGUCAAUGGACGAGAGUCUGAACCAGCCAUGCCGCGUGCAGGAAGACGGCCUUCUGGGUUGUAAACUGCUUUUCUCAGGGAAGAAAAAGGUCUUGCGAGACAAAUUGCCGGUACCUGAGGAAUAAGCACCGGCUAACUCCGUGCCAGCAGCCGCGGUAAUACGGAGGGUGCGAGCGUUGUCCGGAUUUAUUGGGUUUAAAGGGUGCGUAGGUGGUUUAUUAAGUCAGUGGUGAAAUCCUGCAGCUCAACUGUAGAACUGCCAUUGAUACUGUUUUUCUUGAGUAUAGAUGAAGUGGGCGGAAUGUGUCAUGUAGCGGUGAAAUGCAUAGAUAUGACACGGAACACCAAUUGCGAAGGCAGCUCACUAAACUAUUACUGACGCUGAUGGACGAAAGCGUGGGGAGCAAACAGGAUUAGAUACCCUGGUAGUCCACGCCGUAAACGAUGAUUACUCGGUGCUAGCGAUAUACUGUUAGUGCCUAAGCGAAAGUGAUAAGUAAUCCACCUGGGGAGUACGAUCGCAAGAUUGAAACUCAAAGGAAUUGACGGGGGCCCGCACAAGCGGUGGAGCAUGUGGUUUAAUUCGAUGAUACGCGAGGAACCUUACCUGGGCUUAAAUGUAGAUUGACAGAUUGGGAAACCAGUCCUUCUUCGGACAAUUUACAAGGUGCUGCAUGGUUGUCGUCAGCUCGUGCUGUGAGGUGUCGGGUUAAGUCCCAUAACGAGCGCAACCCCUAUCCUUAGUUGCCAGCGAGUAAUGUCGGGGACUCUAAGGAAACUGCCCGCGUAAGCGGUGAGGAAGGUGGGGAUGACGUCAAAUCAUCACGGCCCUUACGUCCAGGGCUACACACGUGCUACAAUGGCGGAUACAAAGGGCAGCUACUUGGUGACAAGAUGCUAAUCUCGAAAGUCCGUCUCAGUUCGGAUCGAAGUCUGCAACUCGACUUCGUGAAGCUGGAAUCGCUAGUAAUCGCGUAUCAGCAAUGACGCGGUGAAUACGUUCCCGGGCCUUGUACACACCGCCCGUCAAGCCAUGGAAGCUGGGAGUGCCUGAAGUC